UAGACUGGGAAAAAGCCCAGUCUCGGGAGACAACACAGGGGUCGUAAACGUCAAACAAACACUAGGGGCACAGGCUGUGCACCAAAAUACAUCAAACCACGUUCCAGCCAAUUACAGACAAGUGUUGCACUAACCUCCACCCCCUCGCCCAACCAUCUUGUCGGUGAGUGGCUGGAUCGUGGUUUGUUGUAUUUUGGUGCACAGGCUUUGCCUCUAGUGUUU
Molecule: long non-coding RNA, 222 nt
Organism: Etheostoma spectabile (orangethroat darter)
Lineage: Eukaryota; Metazoa; Chordata; Actinopteri; Perciformes; Percidae
Exons: 3
Source: RefSeq, a predicted model, not a curated record